RNAcentral lists this ribosomal RNA (783 nucleotides) under uncultured bacterium. RNAcentral's name for it is "bacterial SSU rRNA". It matches the Rfam family "Bacterial small subunit ribosomal RNA", at positions 87 to 868 of the family's 1533-position model. The record is from RNAcentral.
GCUGACGAGUGGCGAACGGGUGAGUAAUGCGUCGGAACGUGCCGAGUAGUGGGGGAUAACUAUCCGAAAGGGUAGCUAAUACCGCAUACGCUUUGAGAAGGAAAGCAGGGGAUCGCAAGACCUUGCGCUAUUCGAGCGGCCGACGUCUGAUUAGCUAGUUGGUGAGAUAAGAGCUCACCAAGGCGACGAUCAGUAGCGGGUCUGAGAGGAUGAUCCGCCACACUGGGACUGAGACACGGCCCAGACUCCUACGGGAGGCAGCAGUGGGGAAUUUUGGACAAUGGGCGCAAGCCUGAUCCAGCCAUGCCGCGUGUCUGAAGAAGGCCUUCGGGUUGUAAAGGACUUUUGUCAGGGAGGAAAUCCCUAGCGCUAAUAUCGCUGGGGGAUGACAGUACCUGAAGAAUAAGCACCGGCUAACUACGUGCCAGCAGCCGCGGUAAUACGUAGGGUGCAAGCGUUAAUCGGAAUUACUGGGCGUAAAGCGUGCGCAGGCGGUUGUGUAAGUCUGAUGUGAAAGCCCCGGGCUUAACCUGGGAACUGCAUUGGAGACUGCACGGCUAGAGUGCGUCAGAGGGGGGUAGAAUUCCGCGUGUAGCAGUGAAAUGCGUAGAGAUGCGGAGGAAUACCGAUGGCGAAGGCAGCCCCCUGGGAUGACACUGACGCUCAUGCACGAAAGCGUGGGGAGCAAACAGGAUUAGAUACCCUGGUAGUCCACGCCCUAAACGAUGUCAACUAGCUGUUGGGGGUUUGAAUCCUUGGUAGCGUAGCUAACGCGAGAAGUGA